GCUCCAAUAGCGUAUAUUAAAGUUGUUGCAGUUAAAAAGCUCGUAGUUGGAUUUCUGGUGGGAGGGAACCGUCCGAUCUCAGAUUGGUGCGUGUUCCUCUCCGGCCAUCCUUGAGUCUAACCUCCUUGGCAUUAAGUUGUCGAGGUGGGGAUACUCAUCGUUUACUGUGAAAAAUAUGAGUAGUUCUAAAGCAGGCUUAU
This 200-nucleotide ribosomal RNA is filed under the name uncultured eukaryote. RNAcentral describes it as "partial 18S ribosomal RNA". It matches the Rfam family "Eukaryotic small subunit ribosomal RNA", at positions 588 to 789 of the family's 1831-position model. The record is from RNAcentral.